GUCUUUUUGAGUUAUUUUUAAAGUCUGACCUGCCCACUGAAUAUUUUUAAAUGGCCGCAGUAUUCUAACUGUGCAAAGGUAGCAUAAUCAUUAGUCUUUUAAUUGAAGGCUGGUAUGAACGGUUGGACGAAGUAUAAGCUGUUUCAUAUAAAAUUAUAUUAGAAUUUUAUAUUUUAGUUAAAAAGCUAAAAUAUUAUUAAAAGACGAGAAGACCCUAUAAAUCUUUAUAUUUAAUAUUAUUCAAAUUUUUUUGAUUAAUUUUAUUUUUAUAAUAUUAAAUAUUUUGUUGGGGUGAUAUUAAAAUUUAAUAAACUUUUAAUUUUGAAUUAGAACAUUAAUUUAUGAAUAGUUGAUCCAUUAUUAAUGAUUAUAAGAUUAAGUUACUUUAGGGAUAACAGCGUAAUUUUUUUUGAGAGUUCAUAUCGACAAAAAAGUUUGCGACCUCGAUGUUGGAUUAAGAUAUAUAUUUAGGUGUAGUCGUUUAAAUAUUAAGUCUGUUCGACUUUUAAAUUCUUACUCGAUCUGAGUUCAA
Molecule: ribosomal RNA, 532 nt
Filed under: Ceratitis anonae
Lineage: Eukaryota; Metazoa; Arthropoda; Insecta; Diptera; Tephritidae
Description: partial 16S ribosomal RNA
Rfam family: Bacterial large subunit ribosomal RNA (bases 391-532)
Source: RNAcentral